GACGAACGCUGGCGGCGUGCUUAACACAUGCAAGUCGAGCGGUAAGGCCCUUUCGGGGGUACACGAGCGGCGAACGGGUGAGUAACACGUGGGUGACCUGCCCUCAGCUCUGGGAUAAGCCUGGGAAACCGGGUCUAAUACCGGAUAUGACUCCAUGACGCAUGUUGUGGGGUGGAAAGCCUUGUGCGGUUGAGGAUGGGCCCGCGGCCUAUCAGCUUGUUGGUGGGGUGAUGGCCACCAAGGCGACGACGGGUAGCCGGCCUGAGAGGGCGACCGGCCACACUGGGACUGAGACACGGCCCAGACUCCUACGGGAGGCAGCAGUGGGGAAUCUUGCGCAAUGGGCGAAAGCCUGACGCAGCGACGCCGCGUGAGGGAUGACGGCCUGUGU
This 391-nucleotide ribosomal RNA is filed under the name uncultured bacterium. Its description in RNAcentral is "bacterial SSU rRNA". It matches the Rfam family "Bacterial small subunit ribosomal RNA", at positions 28 to 421 of the family's 1533-position model. The record is from RNAcentral.